Molecule: long non-coding RNA, 3550 nt
Organism: Acinonyx jubatus (cheetah)
Lineage: Eukaryota; Metazoa; Chordata; Mammalia; Carnivora; Felidae
Exons: 3
Source: RefSeq, a predicted model, not a curated record
UUUUGAAAGAAGCAGACAUCAAUCAGCCACUGAAGACAAGAAGAGGACGGUCCUGGGGCACUCAACUUCUUCUAAGGUGGAAGUUUGCUUCUAAGGAAAAAUACUGGAAGGAAUAAAAUGCAGCCAAGAGGGGUCGUCACUUUAACACACACCUGCUCUUUCCUCCCCAUCAGCAGGUGCCCAACAAGAUUGUUGACGAUGUCUGUGUCUACACCAGCAUUUCUCGAUCACCAGUCCCGGCCUUGGAAGCAACAUAUUCCUGCCUUAGGUUUAUUUCUCUCCCUUCUCUGCUUCUGGAUCGUCUCUCCCAUCUCCUCCUCCACCACUUACCACCUGCUAUCAGAAUCAGGGUGGAAAACGUGGGCACAUGACCAUGAGUUUUUAGUAUAGUUUUAACAAAAACACAAAAUUCCACAUAAUGCCAUAACUAAAUUAGGUGGCUUCUCUUUAAAAAAAAAAACAAAAAAACAAACAAACAAACAAAAAAAAAAAACAGAAACACAACCUAAAACUAUUGUGUAGACCAGAACACAUAUCAUUUGGUGAUUGAAUUUUUCUGUUUGUUUUUUCUACCAGUCAUGCAAUGUACACUUAAUACAACUCUGAGACUCUUUGAGUACAAACUAGCAAGAAUUGAAACAUUUUACAGACUAACAAUUCCAUUUAAAUCCUUGUUUUUACCUGAGUGGGUAAAGAGAUAGGAUAGCUGAAGAGUACCAAGUAAAGGGGUGGGGUAGGUCAUCGCCAGUGGGGUAUCAUAUCAUUGUUCAGUCGACAUGGCCUUAGCCACACUUCCUGAUUCACUGGGAAGUGUUCCUUGUGCAUCAUUUUUGCUCUUGGCCAGCUUACCCCCACUCUCCACCGCUGCUGCGGCCAUGCCCACAGAUGCCCCAUCAACCGAGUGGCCCCUCUUCCCGUCCCAGGGAAUUAAUGGGCUCCCGGCACUUAUUAGAAGAGGUAGCAGAUCUGGAAAAGGAAAUCAAAACGCAGUAGAGAAGGCAGAACACAGUUUGGGGAGUCUCUGGCAAAUCUGAGUUCAGGUCUGAACUUUAAUACGUGCUGGCUGUGAGGCUUUGAGGAACUGAUUUCGUUUCCGGAGUUUACUUUAUCCGUAAAACAGUGCUUCUUUUCUUCACAAUCAGACAUUUAUCAGGUAUUUACUAAGUGCCAGGCACUGUUCUAGUGCCCACUUCCAGGGAAGGGGGGGUUAGGGGCUGGGGGUUAAUGGCGUGGGUACAAAGAUUUUAAAAUAGGUCAGAAAAGGAUUCACUGAGAAGGGGACAUCUGAGGUGAACACUUGAAGGAAGUGAGACAGUGAGCCAUGAGGGUAUCUGGGGUGGGGAGAACGUUCCAAAUAAAGAAAUCGCUAGUUCAAAGGCCCUAAGGCAGGAGGGAUCCUGGUGCACUGGAAGAACAGCAAGGAGACCAGUAGGGCUGGAGCAGGUGAGCAGAGCAGACAAUAGCAGCAGAUGGGGGCAGAGGGGAACAAGAGGGAGCUAAGCUGUGUUCAGCCUCGUAGGCCGUGGGGAGAACUUAGGUAUUUUUUUUUUAAUGUUUAUUUACUUUUUGAGAGAGUGACAGAGACAGAGUGGGGGCCAGGGAGGGGCAACGCAGGCUCCAGGCUCUGAGCUGUCAGCACAGAGCCCGAUGAGGGGCUCGAACCCACGAACUGCAAGAUCACGACCUGAGCCGAAGUCAGACGCUUAGCUGACUGAGCCACCCAGGCGCCCCUGGGUUUUUACUUUAGAGAGGAUGGGAAGUCACUAGAGGGUUGUCAGCCUAGGACUUGUGUUUUGGAAGAGUCGUUCGGGCUGCUGCGUUGAGAACAGAAUGUAGGUGGGCAAGGCCAGGAAGCAGGGACAUGGGUUAGGAGGAAGAGACGAUGGUUUGAACCAGGGUAUGGCUGUGGACGUGGGGUGGAGGAUGGUUCGAUUCUGGACAUUUCUUGAAAGUGGCAUUAACAGGGUUUGCUGAUGAACUGGAUUGAGUGUGAGAAAAAGAGAAGAGUCAAGGAGGCCUGUGAGGUUUUUGGUCUGAGAAAUUAGAAGAGUUGUGUGGCCAUUAGCUGAGAUAGUUGCGGCUGGGGGAGGAACAGGUUCGGGAUGGGAGGAGGAAAUGGAGAAUUUAGUGGUAAUACUAGUAUCUGCCCUGCCUCUCUCAUGGAUUAAAUGUGAUGACUUACGUGUGAUUUACCCUCCCAAUCUGCCUACUGCUGCUAGUAUUCAAGUGCUCUUUCCCUUCCUAUUCAGAAGUGGUCUGUUCCAUGGGUAGUCCCCUCUCUUUCAUGCUCAAGUGGCUCUAGUCGGUGGUGGGCGAGGGGUUCCUAGCACAUGGACUCUUGGAUCUGACAGGUAUUAUCGGAGUAUAUUUAGAUGGAUAUUUUAGGAUAGGUCCUCCAACCGUGACUCAAGUAUGACUUAACAGUUAAUACUUUUAUUUCUCCCUAGCAGAAUAUUGUUUCUAAUUUUUCUUUCAUAUAGCAACUGAUGUUGCCAUGCAGAUCUCUUGGUUGCUAUGAGAUGGUAACAUUACUCUGCCCCGUGAUUGGCCGGGGCCUCCUAUGCUGUGUGGUUCUCACUCAGGCGACUGACACGGAGCUGUUACUAUGGUGAACUUUACAAUUUCCUUUGAUUGGUGGAUUUCAGAAAUAGGUCAUCAGUGGAAUUCAUUAUAUUCUGUCAGGAAAAAUGAAAAAUAAAUAUCAUAACUUUUCCCUGUUACCAACAUGAAGGAAACGCUACACUUAAAGACAUAAUGAAUCUCUGUUGGAGACGUAGAGACCUUCUGAGAAUUGAAGGGUGAUGAUGAUCCUGUGUGUUAAAUUUGGGUGGAAAAUAUUUUCCUUCUGGAUUGGAGUUGAUUAUUCAGAGUUCGAGGCAUCAGGCUCAUCAGAGUUGGGGGGGGCGGUUGUGUAUGGACUGAAAUGUAAACUGCCCUCUCUCUGUGAGAUUAGGGGUGAUGCUGGUGGUCUGGGGGUGGAAGGUGGGAGCAACGUGCUCAUUAAAUGCAGCAUCUUAGGACUAAGUGUUCUCGAGGUGUUAGGAGGGUGCUAAGAUUUGAGUUAUCAAACUCCCUCUAGAGAGGAAAGCCACUGACUUCUGGCUUGACACAGGGUUCCAAGAGUCCAGGCAAGCUUGUGGAAGCUGAGCCCUCCUCUCUCCCACCCCCUCCCCUGUCUCACACAGGUGGGUAGGCAGAUCCCGGGGAGGCAGCCCUCUGCUCAUCUCUAACCUCAAUUAAUGGGAAAAGGGAGUGGAAGAAUUAGUUUUAACCCUUCUAAUUUUGUAACCUAACUCUAGUCUCUAGAAGAAAAAGUGGGAGAAAGAUGGAAGAAGAACUUGGGAGGAGGGAUGAACCAUUUAAAGUGCAUCAGAUCUGGGGCACCUGGGUAGCUCAGUCAGUUAAGGGUCUGACUCUUGAUCUCAGCUCAGGUCAUGAUGUCAUGAUCCGUGAGACUGAGCCCCAAAUCGGCACUGCGCUGACACUGGGGAGCCUACUUGUGAUUCUGUCUCCCCCUCUCUCUGCCCCUCCCCCCUCUCUAAAUAAAUAA